GGGCCUAUGGCUUAAUGGAUAAAGCGCCGGUCUACGGAGCCCCCGGAGAUUCCAUUGGUGGAUCCCUGGUAGGCUCA
This 77-nucleotide transfer RNA is filed under the name Pleodorina starrii. RNAcentral's name for it is "tRNA-Arg". It matches the Rfam family "tRNA". From Rfam's summary of the family: Transfer RNA (tRNA) molecules are approximately 80 nucleotides in length. Their secondary structure includes four short double-helical elements and three loops (D, anti-codon, and T loops). The record is from RNAcentral. Lineage: Eukaryota; Viridiplantae; Chlorophyta; Chlorophyceae; Chlamydomonadales; Volvocaceae.